This 308-nucleotide unclassified non-coding RNA is filed under the name uncultured fungus. Its description in RNAcentral is "sequence contains ITS1". The record is from RNAcentral. Lineage: Eukaryota; Fungi.
GUAUUAACUUUUAUAUAGGUACAAAGACCUUAUUCAACAUUCUAAACAUUGUUAUAGAGAUUGUGAAAAACAACAUAGACCUGAAAAAAUACAAGGGAAAGCCGACUUUUUUCUUUUGUAAAGCACAGCAAUCCCCAACUCGAAUGGAAAUUCCAUUCAUAAUGCUCCCCCCAGGUCUACAGUAUGUGCACAGUUGGAGAAAUGACAAAGAUGAACAAGCGUGCACAUGCCCUCUUUCAAGGGCCAGCAAAAAACAGCCUGUUCAAGUUUAUUCGAUAAUGAUCCUUCCGCAGGUUCACCUACGGAAA